This 2931-nucleotide small RNA is filed under the name Rattus norvegicus (Norway rat). RNAcentral's name for it is "uncharacterized LOC102555697". The record is from RNAcentral. Lineage: Eukaryota; Metazoa; Chordata; Mammalia; Rodentia; Muridae.
CACCUGAGAUCCAGGCUCUGCUAGACUUGUCCCCAACGUCCUACUCCCCCAGUCUCCCACAGUCAGGGUGCCCCAUAUCAGCUGAGACCUAGGGUUCUGUCUGAAUUUGUUUGUUGUUUCCUAAGGUUCUAACCUGGCAUCUUGCUCAAACUCCUUGGAGGACUCAGACAACCACAGGGAGCCUGAGAAGGAGCUGUUGUCUGGUGGACUUAAUCAUCGCCCAGACAAGACACAUGAUAAGGUGAGCAGUUCAGCUGUGUGACACACUCCUGUGAUAUGUUGCAUUACCCUGGGUCCAAAGCAAAGGGACCAACCAAUCCAGGUGGAGACUUCCAAACUGAUUUCUCACUGUGACCCUGGGUGCCCUGGAAGUCUCUUCAGAGGCCAGGCUGGCCUUGAACUCAAAAGAUGUGCUUGCCUCUGCCUCCCGAGUGCUGGCAUUAAAGGUGUGCACCAGCAUCAGCAAUCACCACCACUCAGCUUGAGCAUCAUCUUAUUUAAGUCAUUGCAACAGAGGGAUCUGCCCAGCAAAUGACAAAGGUCCUACAGCUGGGAGAGAAGCACAGUUGGAUUUUGCCUCUGGACUUACAGGUAUGGUUGUAUAAGGACGUCAGCUUGCUCCAAAGCAUCUAUAAGGAGAAGAGCAUCGACAAAGCAUCUAUUUCAGUGUGCCAGGAAUUCAUGCUUUUAUGCUUGAAGAACUACUGAAUCCGGCUGAGAACAGCAGAAGCCCAUGGUGUCCUGGACGGAAGUUGCUCUCCCCAGUUCAGCUGAGGUCCAUCUCCAAACACCAUGGUCGGAUUCAGUUUCUACCCUUCAAGGACCUCGCACAGGGGACUAAAUUUCAACACAGGAACUCUGCAUUCACUGCCACUAAGCCAUAGCAGCAACUGAAGUCUGAUAAUCCUGAGUCAGCAAAAUUAAAAUCAUAAGAUAACUCAUUUCUACUCAUCUUUCUGAAUCAGGAGUCACACUUUCAAGGGGUGUUCUGUGUCUAACGCACCUAAGGGUGGUUAAGAAAGAACAGAGGAAUGGAAACAAAAGAAACAGGAAAACAAGUACAACGGCCGAUGUCUGUCCAAUCAAAUCAAUAAGCCAUUAUAUGGGAAUGCUGUGAAUACCUGAAUGAGAGAGCAGACGUUGAGUUAGCUUUGUAAGAGAGCAAGAAUUUGGAAAUACCAACAGAUGUUUCCAUGGGAACGAGCCUCAGAGAUCAUGAUAAAUAAGAGCAUCCUCCAGAGUAAGAACUUGGGCUGAGUGAUUCCAGCAGCGGAGAAGCUGGAAGAGUGACGACACAAUCCAGCAGAAAUAGCCAGGCCUCUGACAAGUCGGUGGGAGCGAUUAGGACCAGCCAGGACCCUAGGAGAAGUUCUCUGCCGAGUGUGCCUCUCACGACAAAGAAGACCAGCAAAGACGUGAACCCAAUGAAGUGUUGCAAAGCUGUCUCUGCAAGCACCCAGUCACGGUCCAUUGAGUCUUAUGUAUACUCUCUCCAAACAUGUGUCCUCCCACGGGCCUUGCCUCAGCAAAACGCCAUGUAAAUCUGCAUCACAUGAUAUAUCCGGAAACUUUCGCUUCCCAGUCUGAAAUAACUAUUUUCACUCUCUAGCCAUAGCCCUCUGAAUGUACCCCAUCUUGUCUGAAAUGAAUACUUUAAUGUAUUAUUUACUUUACUUGGUAAUUAUGGUUUUGCAUGCUGUAUUACCUACUCUGGUGACACUGAACAAAGGCCUGAGAGGAGCAACUUGGAGGAAGAAAGGUACAUUUUGGCUUAUGGUUUCAGUCAGUCACGGUGAGGAAGGCAGGGCAGAGUGGCUCUAUUCAUGGUGGCAGGAGUGUGAGGUGAUGGCUUGUUUACGUGGUGGCAGACAGGAAACAAAGAGAGUAGGCAGCACUGAGACAAGCAGACAGAGGGGAUAGUUUAGUAACCAGGACUCUACUUAUUUUGGGUUCUGCACAUACCUUUCUUUUAAUAAUGCACGUGGCAGCCCAAAAGCCUUACCUACGGGUACCAGGCACGCACACAUGCAGUACUACGUACUGAGCAAUGCACCUAGCAUCUGUUAGUGACCUAGGACCCUCAUCUGCACCAAGCUACAUACACGCCCCAGUUUGAACAGUCAGUCUCUCUCUCCUUAUUAGCCAUCAAACUUAGACAGAUUAUAUUCCAUUGUGCUCUGCUUAUCAGGAAUGAAGUCAGCUUGAACUGGCUUUGGUUGCAUGUACAAUGUAAAACUGCUCUCAAGUAAACUUUAAGGGAUCGUCCUCUAUUUAUUAUCUUAUGCCUGUGCAUAAUUAGGUAUGCCUAUGAUUAAAAUCAGGUGUAUUAUGGGAAGAGACACACAUAGUAGAAAAAUGAUUGUAUGAUCCAAUCUAUUAAUAUACAUACUACACUCUUAGGAACCAAACUCUUCCUUUUCUGAGCCCCCUGUGUUGAUGACUGUGGCCUGUGUUUCCACCAGAGACCAUGUGGAUGUCCACGGUCUAUGCUGUGGCCUGAAGCCAUGUUAGUGUCCCUGGGCAGUGCAGCCACCAAGGGCCAUGUUGAUGUGAAUAGCCAUGCUGAGGCCUGAGGUCUGUGGUCUGUGCUGCCCCCGAAGCCAGGGCUGUGUUUGUGGUCUGUGCUGUGGCCCGGAACCACAGGGAAGCCCAUAAUCUGAGCUCUCGCUGACCACAAAGAGCAAGGAAGUUGGUUUUGCAGUGCUAUCGAUGACUGCCGAUGCAUAGUUGAAAAGGGACAUGGAAGGCUUCUGUGACACCUCCCCAGCCCCCAAGAAAAGUAGCAGCUUAAACGGGAAGAUAUUGAAGAGAACUCUUACAACGUGCAAUAAGAAUGCUGAAGUUAGCCCUCCACAGUAGACGGCGCCAGGCAGGGCUGCAGGAUGACAACGACUGCGUUCUAUUUGGGGGCAGGCCCCUGAGAGUUUGACC